UACAAACACACACACUGCAUUAUAUACACAUACUAUACAAACACUAUAUAUAAUGCAGUGUGUGUAUAAUGC
Pelobates cultripes (western spadefoot toad) is the source of this 72-nucleotide non-coding RNA. The record is from the annotation of a GenBank genome assembly. NCBI's taxonomy places the organism in Eukaryota, Metazoa, Chordata, Amphibia, Anura, Pelobatidae.